Lycium barbarum (goji berry) is the source of this 1766-nucleotide long non-coding RNA. RefSeq lists it as uncharacterized. NCBI's taxonomy places the organism in Eukaryota, Viridiplantae, Streptophyta, Magnoliopsida, Solanales, Solanaceae. The record is from RefSeq and is a predicted model, not a curated record. The transcript is spliced from 2 exons.
AUUCGGCCGGGCGCAGUCCAUUAAAGGACUGAGCCAGCCCAACCGUCCAAUAAAGGGGUAAUACCCCUAUCAUUUCCCAUUCUUCAUCAACCAAAUGCACCCCACAAGUUUUCUCGCUCAAGGGUUAUAAACCCUAGAAAAGCCACCCCUCCCCACACCCUCUCUCCUACGUCACGUUGCCGAAUAUGGCAAAGAUAAGGGCCUGCAUAGCUUUUGCAGCUGUGAACCAGAUCGAGAAUGGAAAGAGCAUUAAACGCUCUGUCAUUUCUCAACCAAUACUCCCAAAACUUAGCCCAAACACUGUAUUACCACCUCUUUUUCACUUUGCUUUUGAUUUACAACAGUCGAUUGACUGAGUUUUCUUAAUGGUAUUUGUUGUUAUUCGAUUUUGAACUCUCGACCCUCAUUGGUUCAGGAGGAAUCGAGCGGAUCGAUCAAUGGAAGCUUUAAUCUAGCCGUUUAAUUGUUGUUUGUGCCUAAUUUGAGCCGCACGAUGUUGAUUGUGAGGAACAAGUCCAAAAUCUUUACUUGUCUCACAUCGGUGAGAUUACGUUUUUGUUGCAAUUUAGGGUUCAAUAAAUAGAACCUCGUCCCCCCCCCCCCCCCCCCCCAUUUCCCAUUGAGGGAUAGACCUGAACACUAAAUAUUAUAUAUUCACCAAAAGAACGCGAAAAUACUUAGGGUUUUAGCAAUAUUGCUGAGACCUUUAAAUUUUUUGAGUUAAGUCUAAAUUUUAAGGUUUGUUUCUUCUGUUUUUUGUGUGUGGCUGAGCUUGGGUGGAGGAAAAAAGGUCUCCAAGUUCAUUCUCAAUAGCAGGCUGCACAAAAAAGUGGCCAACUACUUUUGUCCAUUGAUCGAGUCCGAUAAAGAGAAAGGGAAGCUAAUGUUUUCUUUGAAGGCCCAGCCAUAGGUGAAAAUGACUUGAACGCCCAACUAUGGGUGAAAAUUGUAACUGGUGGGCUUAGGGUAGCCAACCAGUCUAACUCCCUCUAUUUCUUUCAUUAUCUGUGUAUAUGAAUUUGUAAAAACACUUGAAAAACUAUUGAAACCCCUAUGCAUGUUUAGAACUUAGGAAAUAAUACUUAGUAGCUUAGGAAGUCGCUUAAACACUUUCAAAACUCAACUAAUAUAACUUUGGAUGAAAAUUGGAACUUAAUUCGAUUUCGAUGAAACUUUAAAAUUGGUGCGACAUUUCAUUAAGGUUAAAUGACUUCUUUUUUUAACAAUGAUUAAGUAGCGAACAAUUUGGACCCUCUGCCCCUUUUUUAGAACUUCAUCAUAAAGAUGGCAAUGUUUAAAUCGAUUUUGGGCCUGCAGCCCGUUAUGGAAAGUUUCAAACCGCUUAAUGGACUGUAAAAACUGAUUUAGGGCCAAGAAAAGGAGAGAAAAUGAGUUUAAAGAUAGUUGUGGAAACUAUGAAAAUGGUAAUGGACAUUCUUUAACUUGGACUGAAUUCUGAAAACUUGAGAAAAUUUUCCAGAAAAAUGAAGUACUUUGUGGUUCGGAUUUAAAUGAUUUUAGAAAGAGAAUUGAGACUGUUGGGCCCAAAAGCCCAAACAUUAUGGGCUGAAAAUGAAGAGAAAUUCACUUGGACCAAGUUUGAGGAAGAUGGACUCUGCACUGAAUUACGGAUUGACUUAAUAUGGGCUUCAAAUAAAUAAUUUGGACUUUAACAAAAAUUCCUAUUAUAUAUAUAUAUAUAUCGGAGAUAUACUCCGUAUUUUCUAUAUACGUAUAAUAAAACUCAUAAGUACUAAACCAUUUCA